RNAcentral lists this long non-coding RNA (1103 nucleotides) under Phocoena sinus (vaquita). Its description in RNAcentral is "lncRNA (ENSPSNG00000020735.1)". Lineage: Eukaryota; Metazoa; Chordata; Mammalia; Artiodactyla; Phocoenidae. The record is from RNAcentral.
UAAGCAAGAAUGUUCAGUGUUCUGCAAUGUAAAAUUUGAAGCAAGGUCUCCCUGAGUUAUGUGUACGUGAGUAUUCUCAUUCUUCCCAACUUGCCUUCUAAGAGUGAAAAACCAUUCUUACCAAGUAGACUACUAUUCAGCUUCCACUGUUCUGGCCCACUGUUGAUCCUCUAAGGAUGGUGUUCUUAGACUUUUUCAGUAUGUGAGUCCCCUCCUUUUGGAAUGGUGAUUUUAAAUGUGUGAGUGCAUGCGUACUCAGAUAUUUGAACCCUCACCCGCUCCCAUCUCCCAAAAGCUAGAACACUGCCAACUAAUCUGUUGUAUGGGUCCUUUAGAAACGUGUAAUCAACACUUAAGGUUGGGUGCUGCUAAUUCUUUGCGAAAAUCCAAAUAUUGUUAACGGACCAGGGAGAUGCCACUACCCCCUGAUUUUUCCUCAGCAAAUAUACGUGUUUAUGUAAACAGAUCUUUCCAUAUUCAUAGUGACUUUUCAAGUAUUUGAGCGUAAAGAUUUUGAUCCUACCUUUUUUAUACCUGUUUAAAUCGUUCAUUGUUAUUAUUACAUGUCAGCCAUCAAAUAUAGUUGUACUUAGAAAAUUUCCUGCAAUUAUGUACAUUUUAAGACGAACCCUUGUGACUUUGCUUUAAUUACAUGAAAGUACCUUGCCUCCUUGAUAUUUGAUAUUCGUGUUGAUUUUUUUUUUUCUGGAAUGGAGGUAUAAUUGUGUCACUUUUUGGAACUGAGAUACACGUGAAUGAUUCAAAAAGUCAGAAGUUAAGGAGAAUAAUGUUUCUUUGGUCAUAAAGACUGAUUAAUAAUCCUUGCCUAUAUUUUCCUGCUAGCAUGUGACAGAUGUUUCUGGAGUAACAAGAUGAGAACAGAUUAAAGAUUGUGUGGUAUUUGGGAUUCGGAGAGAAAUAUUUUAAUUUUCAAAUGUAGUUACAAAUUAGAAUGUAUUCGUAUUUCUACUUUCUGUUAAAAUGCACGAUUGCAGGAUUGUUACUUAGGUUUUCACGUUUUCCUUAAUGAAAAGCUUCGUUUGUUCUGGUUUUUAAGUUUGCACUCGGAUCUUAAGAAAUAAAUCCACCCACGUUAUCAAGCC